Lupinus angustifolius (narrow-leaved blue lupine) is the source of this 211-nucleotide ribosomal RNA. It matches the Rfam family "Bacterial large subunit ribosomal RNA", at positions 1794 to 2010 of the family's 2925-position model. NCBI's taxonomy places the organism in Eukaryota, Viridiplantae, Streptophyta, Magnoliopsida, Fabales, Fabaceae. The record is from Rfam.
UAGCGAUUGUUUAUUAAAAACACAGGACUCUACUAAGUGGUAACACAAUGUAUAGAGUCUAACACCUGUCUAGUGCUGGAAGGUCAGAAGGAGAAGUCUUAUAAGCUUUGAAUGGAAGCCUCGGUAAACGACAACAGUAACUCUAACUAUCCUAAGGUAGCGAAGUUCCUUGUCGCAUAAGUAGUGACCUAUACGAAUGAUGUAACGACUA